RNAcentral lists this ribosomal RNA (620 nucleotides) under bacterium. Its description in RNAcentral is "bacterial SSU rRNA". It matches the Rfam family "Bacterial small subunit ribosomal RNA", at positions 67 to 676 of the family's 1533-position model. The record is from RNAcentral.
CGGUACAGGAACAUUCGUUGCUGUUUCGCUGACGAGUGGCGGACGGGUGAGUAAUGUCUGGGAAACUGCCUGAUGGAGGGGGAUAACUACUGGAAACGGUAGCUAAUACCGCAUAACGUCGCAAGACCAAAGAGGGGGACCUUCGGGCCUCUUGCCAUCGGAUGUGCCCAGAUGGGAUUAGCUAGUAGGUGGGGUAACGGCUCACCUAGGCGACGAUCCCUAGCUGGUCUGAGAGGAUGACCAGCCACACUGGAACUGAGACACGGUCCAGACUCCUACGGGAGGCAGCAGUGGGGAAUAUUGCACAAUGGGCGCAAGCCUGAUGCAGCCAUGCCGCGUGUAUGAAGAAGGCCUUCGGGUUGUAAAGUACUUUCAGCGGGGAGGAAGGGAGUAAAGUUAAUACCUUUGCUCAUUGACGUUACCCGCAGAAGAAGCACCGGCUAACUCCGUGCCAGCAGCCGCGGUAAUACGGAGGGUGCAAGCGUUAAUCGGAAUUACUGGGCGUAAAGCGCACGCAGGCGGUUUGUUAAGUCAGAUGUGAAAUCCCCGGGCUCAACCUGGGAACUGCAUCUGAUACUGGCAAGCUUGAGUCUCGUAGAGGGGGGUAGAAUUUCAUGUGU